Molecule: long non-coding RNA, 2449 nt
Organism: Tyto alba (common barn owl)
Lineage: Eukaryota; Metazoa; Chordata; Aves; Strigiformes; Tytonidae
Exons: 3
Source: RefSeq, a predicted model, not a curated record
GUUUAUUUUUGUCAAUGAAGUCCUGACUCAAAUGAAGGAAAGAGGGUCCUGUGAGAUUCAGUCUAUGGUUAAGCACUCUCCAACCCAGAUCAGUCAGUGGGCUGCCCACAAAAGUAAAGAACCAGUGUGAGAGUUUGAAGAAAGAAUCCGCUCAGAGGACUGAGUCUCAAGCAAAAGCUCCAGGUUGCAGACUCAGAAAGAAACUUCCUUUGGGGAAGGAUCUGCUUCCAGGAUUUGCUCGUCUCUUUUUCCUUGGGCAAACAAAGUUCUUGAAGCAAACAACAGGGUUGCAGGACACCUUCUAACCUUUAUACUGCAUCACAAGCCUUCAGCAGAAGAUCUUGAGAGCCAUUUAUGUUGCUGGAAGAUGACUGGGUUUGGAUCUUGGCCUUCCUUAAGCAGGAUCUUCUGACAAAAGUGGGAUUGGGAAAGAAAUGACUCCUUUUUCCAUCACACAGAGCCACCCUAGAAAUGGAGGCCUAGGCAGAACACUACUUCUAAUGCAUCAUUCUUUAGGAAAUUCGUUUGGCCUUCCACAGUCCUUUUGUUACUAUGUCAUAAAGAUGUCUUUUAUAAAACCUAAACCUGGCAUCUUCCUAUCUGAAGAUCAAGUCAAUAAAUACAAGUUUAAGAAUUUAAAGGUCUAAUAAUGUGAUCGGAUCUUGCUGUCCCCUUCAUAGGAGAUGCCAUGUGAAUCUGUGAAACAGGGUUCUGCUGUGGUUCAGACUGUUAUUUUUGUAAAGCCUUUUCUACUUAUAGUCCAUUUAAAUGAUUAGAAAUAAUUUUAAUAAAGGUUCUUGUGAAAAUGGUAUUUAAUUAGGCUUCUACCUCUCCAAGUUUACUUAAAAAAUAAAUUUGAGUACCAAAAAUGUCACAAUGGCAAUAUGGGAAGUACUACAUCUUUUGAGGUUUCCUGUGGUUUUGUGUCGUGAGAAGGUACGUUGGAAGUGUUGAGAGCUAUGAAAGUGGAAAAGCUUAGAUAAUUUUUUUUUUUCUUUAAGAGUGAAAAGCUAUUUGUUAGAAAACGGAAAGCUUUUAAUUGUUUUCCCCCUAAGGGAUUCUAUAGUCAAACUUAAUUAAAUAUCUUGUGAGAUCUCAAAUAAAAACCUUAUGUUUGGCAGCAGCGAACAACACACACACAUGCAAGUGUACUUUUGUUCUUUUCGCUAUAGGAAAUUAGUUUUGAAGAAUAGGAAUUACUUGUAAUGUUCAGUUUAGGAAAGAGGAAAGCUUUAUUCUGAAGCUGAGUGUGAGAAGGGGUGGCAGGAGCGUGAACCAGACCCUCUGGCAGUAGGUAAAGAGCACUUUUAUUUUCCUGUUUUCUGCUUCUAUCAGUUGGAGUAAACUAGUCAGAUGCUUGUGCUUGAAUCCAAUUAAUUUCUUAAAUCAGUUACCACAAACAUUGGUUUUUAACUAAUGCCUAGAUCUUUCAUUAAAUUUGCCAGCGUAUUUAAAUUGUUGAACAGUCUUAAUGUAGCCCUGAGGCUACUGCUUCAUGGCAGUUGUGACUUCUUACUAUGCUGGAAUGCAUUUCAGUCUUAGUACAUUCUAAAAAUAAUUGUUCAGAUGGUGGUAUUUAAGGACAUACUUAUGUAGUGAGCCAUUUUCACUGGACUUUCUGAAAUUUGGCAUUCUGUUGGAUGGCUUUUUAAUACCCUUUUUUUUGCUGUGAAUUUCAAACUUCUUUGUCUUGCUACUUCUGUGGUUAUGGAGUAAAACGCUAAAUUUAUAACCAGGUAUUUUUAGAAAACUGAUAGUCAGAUGUGUGUGUUAAACUAUGCAACUACAGUAACACUUGUGAACUUUGAAGUUUAAAGAUAAAUCAGUUUAAUGUAUCAAAUUCAAUACUUUCUAAUAUGUGGAAAUACAUAUGUGAUGACCUUAAAAUUGAGUAGCUGUUACAGGUAUAGACAUGAAUUGUGUGCCAAACGGGAGUAAUCUAGAAGUUAUAAAAUGAAGAGCUGUGAGUCUCAGAAAUAAAUACUAACAUCAGUGGCUAGAGAUUUGUGCCAGCAGUGCUUUUUGUUGAAAAUACCUGUUUUUCUAACUUCUAGUCUGUGUAGGGUUUGAUAUCUUCUGUGGCUUCCUUAAUAGGUGUACUUGUCUCAGCCACAGUUUUUGGUCAUUUUGUUCUGUACUAUAAGGUAAAUUCAAGACCAUCAAAUACUUAUGCACACUGAAUACUUAUAGUAGAAUAACAGGGGCACUGAGAACUGUUUCUAAUGUUAUCAUCUCAGUUGCUAAAAUUGCUCCCUCCCAUAGUUACAAUUGGGGAAAAAACCCCAAAAAACCUGUGGUUGUUCUACAGUCAGUAUUUUGAUACUUUUGUCUCUCAGCAUUGUGUUAGCCUACUACUAUCAUGCUCUGAGUUUUCCAGCUGAAAUCCUGGGUUCUUUAGCGCAAUAACUCCUGCCUUUGUGUUAUUAAAUAAUAAAGAUGUCUAAAACCA